Molecule: ribosomal RNA, 948 nt
Filed under: Mediterraneibacter gnavus
Lineage: Bacteria; Bacillati; Bacillota; Clostridia; Lachnospirales; Lachnospiraceae
Description: bacterial SSU rRNA
Rfam family: Bacterial small subunit ribosomal RNA
Source: RNAcentral
AUGAAGCAACUGUGACUGAGCGGCGGACGGGUGAGUAACGCGUGGGUAACCUGCCUCAUACAGGGGGAUAACAGUUGGAAACGGCUGCUAAUACCGCAUAAGCGCACAGUACCGCAUGGUACCGUGUGAAAAACUCCGGUGGUAUGAGAUGGACCCGCGUCUGAUUAGCUAGUUGGUGGGGUAACGGCCUACCAAGGCGACGAUCAGUAGCCGACCUAGAGGGUGACCGGCCACAUUGGGACUGAGACACGGCCCAAACUCCUACGGGAGGCAGCAGUGGGGAAUAUUGCACAAUGGGGGAAACCCUGAUGCAGCGACGCCGCGUGAGGAUGAAGUAUUUCGGUAUGUAAAGCUCUAUCAGCAGGGAAGAAAAUGACGGUACCUGACUAAGAAGCCCCGGCUAACUACGUGCCAGCAGCCGCGGAAUACUAGGGGGCAAGCGUUAUCCGGAUUUACUGGGUGUAAGGGAGCGUAGACGCAUGGCAAGCCAGAUUGAAAGCCCGGGGCUCAACCCCGGGACUGCAUUUGGAACUGUCAGGCUAGAGUGUCGGAGAGGAAAGCGGAAUUCCUAGUGUAGCGGUGAAAUGCGUAGAUAUUAGGAGGAACACCAGUGGCGAAGGCGGCUUUCUGGACGAUGACUGACGUUGAGGCUCGAAAGCGUGGGGAGCAAACAGAUUAGAUACCCUGGUAGCCACGCCGUAAACGAUGAAUACUAGGUGUCGGGUGGCAAAGCCAUUCGGUGCCGCAGCAAACGCAAUAAGUAUUCCACCUGGGGAGUACGUUCGCAAGAAUGAAACUCAAAGGAAUUGCGGGGACCCGCACAAGCGGUGGAGCAUGUGGUUUAAUUCGAAGCAACGCGAAGAACCUUACCUGGUCUUGACAUCCCUCUGACCGCUCUUUAAUCGGAGCUUUCCUUCGGGACAGAGGAGACAGGUGGUGCAUGGUUGU